This is an unclassified non-coding RNA of Erinaceus europaeus (western European hedgehog), 290 nucleotides long. Its record names the gene 7SK. It matches the Rfam family "7SK RNA". Rfam says of the family: 7SK was discovered as an abundant small nuclear RNA in the mid-70s but a possible function has only recently been suggested. Two independent studies have found that 7SK RNA binds the CDK9/cyclin T complex (known as elongation factor P-TEFb). P-TEFb activates transcription by phosphorylating the C-terminal domain of RNA polymerase II. The record is from Ensembl. Lineage: Eukaryota; Metazoa; Chordata; Mammalia; Eulipotyphla; Erinaceidae.
GGAUGUGAGUGUGAGCUGACUGCAACAUUUGUCACCCCACUGAUCGCCAGGGUUGAUUCAACUGAUCUAGCUGGCUAGGUAGGUGCCCCCUUCCUCCCUUACCACUCCAUGUGCAUCCCUCCCAAAGUUUCACACUUGGUCAAAGAGGACAGCCUUCUCUGAAUAGAGAUGGACUAAUAUUCAGUUGAGGAUAUACAAAUAGCUUUAUUUCCAUGUUAGAACCUCCAAACAAGCUCUCAAGAAGUGAAGGAAUUGUAUACUGAAAACUAUGAGUUGCUAUUCAAGGAAAU